GACGAACGCUGGCGGCGUGCUUAACACAUGCAAGUCGAACGGAGUGGCGAACGGGUGCGUAACACGUGGGUGCUCUGCCUUGCCCUUCGGGUUAAGCUUGGGAAACUGUGUCUAAUACCGGCUAGUGCAAGAUUAGCUCGGGGCCUAUCAGCUGGUUGGGGGGGUAAUGGCCUACCAAGGCGUCGACGGGUAGCCGGCCUGAGAGGGUGUACGGCCACAUUGGGACUGAGAUACGGCGCAGAAUCCUACGGGAGGCAGCAGUGGGGAAUAUUGCACAAUGGGCGGAAGCCUGAGGCAGCGACGCCGCGUGGGGGAUGAAGUCCUUCGGGUUGGAAACUCCUUUCGACAGGGACGCGGUACCUGUAUAAGAAGCACCGGCUAACUACGUGCCAGCAGCCGCGGUAAUAC
This 408-nucleotide ribosomal RNA is filed under the name uncultured bacterium. RNAcentral's name for it is "partial 16S ribosomal RNA". It matches the Rfam family "Bacterial small subunit ribosomal RNA", at positions 28 to 526 of the family's 1533-position model. The record is from RNAcentral.